This is a non-coding RNA of Vicia faba (fava bean), 219 nucleotides long. The record is from the annotation of a GenBank genome assembly. NCBI's taxonomy places the organism in Eukaryota, Viridiplantae, Streptophyta, Magnoliopsida, Fabales, Fabaceae.
AUGAAGAAAUAUCACAAUACUAAGAAUAAUGGUUGCGCAAAUUUUGUCGGGGAAGAUCAAAGAAACUUCACAAUAUUACAAUCUUUGCUUAAUCACAAUCUGGUUGGGGAAGGAAUUAAACUCAACUUGAGAAGUCUGAAUCAAGACUUAAUUGGGGAAUAUAGGAUUACAUACCCAACACCACAUAACAACUUGGAGGAAACCCGAUUAUUCGGAUGA